RNAcentral lists this ribosomal RNA (520 nucleotides) under uncultured Archaeospora. RNAcentral's name for it is "SSU rRNA". It matches the Rfam family "Eukaryotic small subunit ribosomal RNA", at positions 569 to 1093 of the family's 1831-position model. Lineage: Eukaryota; Fungi; Glomeromycota; Glomeromycetes; Archaeosporales; Archaeosporaceae. The record is from RNAcentral.
AGCAGCCGCGGUAAUUCCAGCUCCAAUAGCGUAUAUUAAAGUUGUUGCAGUUAAAAAGCUCGUAGUUGAAUUUUAGGCCUGGCCGGGCGGUCCGUCUUUGGCGAGUACUGUCCUGUGUCGGGUCUUCCUUCUGGUGAACCAGCAUGUCCUUUGUUGGGUGUGCCGGGGAGCCAGGACCAUUACCUUGAAAAAAUUAGAGUGUUUAAAGCGGGCAUUUGCUUGAAUAGAUUAGCAUGGAAUAAUAGAAUAGGACGUUGUGGUUCUAUUUUGUUGGUUUCUAGGACCACCGUAAUGAUUAAUAGGGAUAGUUGGGGGCAUUAGUAUUCAAUUGUCAGAGGUGAAAUUCUUGGAUUUAUUGAAGACUAACUAUUGCGAAAGCAUUUGCCAAGGAUGUUUUCAUUAAUCAAGAACGAAAGUUAGGGGAUCGAAGACGAUCAGAUACCGUCGUAGUCUUAACCAUAAACUAUGCCGACUAGGAAUCGGGCGACGUUAUUUUCAUGACUCGCUCGGCGCCUUAUGG